RNAcentral lists this microRNA precursor (248 nucleotides) under Medicago truncatula (barrel medic). Its description in RNAcentral is "MIR2655 microRNA precursor family". It matches the Rfam family "MIR2655 microRNA precursor family". Lineage: Eukaryota; Viridiplantae; Streptophyta; Magnoliopsida; Fabales; Fabaceae. The record is from Rfam by way of RNAcentral.
CCCUUAACUAUUAAAAGUUUCGUUUUGGUCCUUUAACUUACUUUUUGGUUUCGUUUUGGUCCCUUAACUCUUCCUCCGUCAACCACUUUGGUCCUUUAUGUUAGGAUGAAUGUAUUAGAGUUAAGGGAUCAAAAUGAAACCAAAAAAUAAGUUAAGGGACCAAAACGAAACUUUUAAUAGUUAAGGGACCAAAAGAAAACCCAAAAAUAAGUUAUGGGACCGAAACGAAACUUUUAAUAGUUAAGGAA